AAAUGAUUUGGCCAGAUGGAGAGUGAGAGCCCAUGAAUGGGAUGUGUAAAUGGUCACUACCUAACAACAUGAAGACUCACAAUCCUCUGGCACUGCAUCCUGUACAUGAAGUGCACUGAAGCAAGUCUGGUAUGGUUGUCAGAACUGUCAUGAGGCCAGCAGUCCACCACAUUCAAGGGAAAUGCCAUGUACUGCUUAAAGUGAAUGUGUUACAGGAACUGCUACAGGGAGAUGUCUGUUCCUGGGAAAAGUUAAGGGACAACCUUGGGGUAGGCUAAGCACCAGAAUUGCAAGAGAGAUUUCUUCCCUACCUUAAGCUGGA
Molecule: non-coding RNA, 322 nt
Organism: Phascolarctos cinereus (koala)
Lineage: Eukaryota; Metazoa; Chordata; Mammalia; Diprotodontia; Phascolarctidae
Source: RefSeq, a predicted model, not a curated record